UCACGUUCUCAUCCCACCAUCCCGAACUGAGCGGAGGGGUAGUUCUCGAUUGGGCGGUGGUCAAAGCGGUGCACAGUUUCGCAUGGAUACAGAAAUCUCGAGACACUCCUGCCCCACACGACUCUCCCGAGUUUACACUGGCCGGACUUCCAAGAGCCGGCCAGGACGAGUUCCUGGCAGUUCUUUGUGUCGGUGGCUCCGCGUACUCGACGGCCGGACUACGAGGAAGAUCCACGGCCGCCGUUGCCUCAGCAUCUCGAUUUACGUGGUGCAAGUAUGACCACCGGCAUACAAGGUGCGGGAGUUCCGGAACAUGGAGUUGGGGUGGUCGAUGCAGUCGACGCAGCAGCCGCUGCGGCGGGGGUAGGAGGCGUGGGUUGCGAGCGGGGUGUUGCCGUGCUGGGGAGUUCGCCGAGGACGGCGAGCCUAGAUGGCCGGGGCACCUAUCUGGGGAGGCGAGCGUGCUGGGGUAAUUCUCCAGGGUCGGCGGCUAUCAUUGCUGGCCGCCCGGAUAUCUGGAGAGGCACGCUGCUGGCUCGGUGGUGCUCAUCCAAAUUUAACCGGAUGUUUCUCCAAAUUUCAUUACCGGUGAAACUAGACGAGGCUAGCCCAUCCGCCCCUUCUCCUCCUCCGGUGAUGUUCCGCGGUCACCCCCCGAGCUCGCCUACCCGGAUCGAGCCAGCCCGAGCUUCCCGUUCGCCGGGCCAACCUGUCUCCUCCCGCCAUGCCUUCUUCACUGACCUGCACCACUGGGAGUUGCACGAUCUCUCCCAUGACUUGCUCCACCGGCAACCACACCCAGGGGCUGGAGUUUAAGCUCCAUCUCCAGGGGCAGAUAUUCAGGUUCAAGCUCCAUCUUUAGGGGCGGAUGUUCAAGUUCAGGUACUCCAUCGUGCCUCUUGUGGAGUGCUCCAUCAAAGUCGAGGUCUGCACCUAUGGUUUUGAUUUUUUGGUUGAAUUCUGACGUUAUCCUAUGUUUUUAUCAGGUAUUCUUCUUGAUUUUUGGUUGAUUUCUGUUGUUAUUCCCAGCUUUCGCAGUGUUAUGGUUCCCUUCUUGUGAUUGUUUAUGAUAGGGGGCGCUGAAAGACUGGAAUGACAUAUGGCUGGUCAGUUUGCCAGGCCACUAACAUAGUAGGUUGGUUCAUAGUUUUGGAGGUAAUGGAGUUUGUUGGGAAAUGUUAGUACCACUUUAUUGAAUCCUCAGUUAUUGGAAACAACAUUCUGCAUUCCGACAGGUAACAUCUUAGGGGUGUUCAUGUUGCAUUGUGUGAAUGAGGUAUUUUACAGCCCCUUUUUGAUGUUUGGAUGUAUCACCAAAAUAUAUUCUCUAGGGCGUUCUAUUUAUAUUCAAGGAAGAUAAGUUCCUCUAAAGUUCAUGUUUUCGUGUGGCUUUUGCAUUACAGCAAAUUGGUCAUUGGGUAUUGUGUAGGUUGGAGGCAAUAUAUUACUGACUCAGUAGAUUACUUUUAUUAGGACUAAAUUUACCCAUGCCUCGCUUUUUAGCUGUAGUGCUAAUUUACAGUAACAGGGCACAACUUGAUGAUCCUGAUCUGAUGGAGCAUUUUAUUUCUGGACUGCAGAUCACGGUACACCGCCGCCAACAGGAUGACCUGCGAGUUCUGCAACCUCACGUCAAGCUUGGCCGCCAGGGUACAGCUGCCGGUGGUCGUGUCCCAGUCCAACUACUACAGACAGCGAACGGACCUGCAGAAAAAGAUUGGAAGUCCUAUUGCAGUGUGAUUAAAUGGAAAUCGGUACCAAAACAAGAUAUCCCAUAUUUAGCAAUGUAUCCUAUAAUCAAUCUUUUACAUAUUUGAAAGUGGUUAUGAGAUUUUGUUUUCUGCAUACUAUCUCUGUGAUAUGACGUGCAUAACCUGGAGUGAAUGUGCAGUUCUUUUCACUGUCUGCAUUGAUAUUUAGUAUUGUUUUCAUGCUAUCAUAGACUACUUGUCUGCCUUUCCAUCGUAUUUCAUCACAGUCAUUCUGCUGUUAAUAGAAUACGUGGCUUCUGACUGUAUGGAAGUUUCUUAUGGAGAAGUAGUAGCUUUAUUAUUUGCGACCUGUUAAAUAGAUAGUGAUAUCGUCCCCUUACAUUCAAGUGAUUCAACUGUUAUGAUAACUCUUACUGUUGUAGGCUCACUAAGCGCAGCUUAGGGAACAUCAUCAAUCUAUUCAAAAUAAUAAUGAAGGUAUCUUCGUAUGCAUUUUCUAUCCCUUUCAGUACAAUACUCCAUAUUCACAUGUUCCCUGUGUUUAGAUCACAAAUACUUAUCUAAAUAUAUUCCAAAAAACGGAUUACAAGGUACUGAUCAUCAUGCACAGUGAUUUCUCCAUUUUCUAGACUUUCGUUUUCCUUCUGGAAGCAAGGGAUUCAUGUAAUUACUUUUUGACAUGCUGAUGCAUCGCUGCAGUUUCAAUUCUUCCUUUGUACUCAGUUAGGGACUUAGGUCUACAAGGAGAUCAAAUAUUGCUUAGAGCUCUGAAUUGGUGUGCAUGUAGUAUAAUAAAGUGGUUCUUGAAUUUUACAUAUAUCCUCGCUUGGGGUUGAGUAAAUCGAUAAAAAUAUGCUUUUCUUUUUUGCUUUAUCUCUUUCUUUAGUGGUUGAAUUCAGAAGAUAAAAUACCCAUCUGCCACUGGCAUCUGGACUUUGUUAUGCGAUAUACAUUUGGUUGUGGCUCAGUUUCAAAUACUGAGUAAUUUGUUUAGAAGGGAGCUUGGCAAUUUUAGCGAGGCCUGAAGAGAGUGUUCAUAUGUUACAGUUGUAUCAUGAAAUCUGAAUCUGAAGUUUUGAAGCUCAGUUUGAAUGAAGGCUGCAAAGAAUAGAUAGACAGAGAAAUCGCUAACUUAGGUAUCUUUCACUCUACGGAACUUCUAUUCGAUAGCAUAAUAUCAAGUAGAAGGUGCCAAUUCUCGCAAAAAAAAAAGUAGAAGGUGCCAAGGCAGUGAGCUUGACAGCAAAAAGAUUCUAUUGGAGGUUCUGCUGUUAUAUACAGGUAUCCUCCCUUGCUUUAAAGUCAGUGAUGGAGAAGUUAGAAAAAACAAUGCACUGGCUAACAUAUAAACUAUACCAUCAUUUAUGUAUUCAGAAACAAUGUGAUAUUUCUGGAAUCCAUGUGCUAUAGUUUAUAUCCAUGAUAUUUAUGUUUAAUUGUAUAUCAAGUACUUUAUGUUUCCUACUUAUCUCUGUUAAUACAUCAAGAGCGUAUAAUUUCGUUUUCUGUAUGGUCAACUUUGUCAACUGCCCUCAUAUUAGAAAUUUCAGCAUCUGAACUUUAGGCGUGUUCAAAAUACAACUUCUAGGAAACUAUUUUCUGACCAAGUCAAGCAUUUCAGGUAAGUCGUCCUUGAACCUUCAUAUAUCCACUCAUCUUCUCCAAGCUCAAGUGUUCGCUACAUGAGUGUCAUUUGCCAUUGCCUCAGCACUUCACUUAUUUCACUAACUAUACAGGGUUGCACAGAGGCUCUAGGGAGUAAGAUUUGCUUUUGUUGGUGAUCGACUGCACAUGCACGUUGCUGUCCAGUUGUUAACAGUUUACUUGGUCCACUUUACUAAUACACAGACCCCAUGACAUAUAUGCUUAUGUUCAUCACUACACAGUAUUAAAAAAUGGUGUACCCUAUUUCGUAAACCUCAAGUUUUAAGUGGAAAAGCACCUCUUUACUGUGAUGACUCAGGGUAGGAAGAAAAACCGGCUCAGAAGUUUUGGUGUUCAUGCCUGAGUGGACAUGCUACCACAAACUGUGAUAAUUCUCAUCCUGGUUCAACAAGUGUGAUUUCGAUUUUGUUGCUUGGAUCGGCAGAAGCUGCCUACAUUUAAAUUUCCAUGGUGCAGAGGUCUCUGACUUGCAUGUUUAUGCUCUCAUGUGGAAUAAACAAUUAAUGCAACAUCAGAUUUUUAUUCUUACAAGGAUGUGGUAUCGCAUCGAGGCUACGGGUAAGCCCUCUCUCCGACCAUGCAGGGUUAUGGAGGUCAUCUUAUAACUUUUGAUUUCUUAAUCCAGGUCAAGAACCAUCUCGCUUUUAACGAAGAUUCAUGAUUGUUGCAUCCGUACAAUUAGCCUAUUUUCAUGAUGUUUGCCUCCAUGUCUUUCCUUAAAGGGGGUCUUCUAUUGUUCUCUCCUGUCGCUUGAAGAUGUUGCAGCUACUAACCAUGCCCAGAACAUUAUUAAUUGGCCUUCAGUGUUUCUAUUCUAGAGUAUCUUGCGUUGGCAUUGCCUCAAUAUUAUCUACAAUCCCUUCUUAGAACACACUGGUUAAAAGCAAAUUGAGGAUAUGAACCAAAUAGCCUCCAACAAACCUCAUCUAUUGCCUAUUAUCUUAAUAUACCAGUGUGAUUCAACCACCAACAAUGUGCACUCUUUGAAAACACUGCUAUGAAGAGCUUUUAUUCCCCAAAUUCUUCCAAGCAAGUUGUUCCUUCUUUGUUUUCCGAAACUGCAAUGUAGGUGAGCGAAAUAUUUUGGUCCUAAGGUGUUAUGUGUUCAUUGUUCCACGUUUUCUUAUAUAUCCUUCAGAAGGAUGAUAAUGUACCUUUGGGUAGGCACUAAACAUUUCUUCAACUAAGAAAGUUGUUACCAAUUUGAUUUUCCGAGCCUGCAUUACGAAGAGGUCUCCGUUAUUUCAGUUCUUUAUUGACUAGAUAUUUUCACUUUAGAGUUUUGUAUGAUAGAGGUUAGCUCCCUAAUUUGGCUAUAAUAACUAAGGUGUGCUAUUGUCCUACUGGUUGGUGUUUUACAGGUUUAGGACCACCUUAAACUCCGAGGACUCUGCUCCAGUGUUCCAUGGCACUGAUGGUGUGCAUCAUAUGUUAAAUGGAGCAGAGUCUCUUUUUUCUUGCAGCCACCACCUGAACUUCAUCUCCACCAGGCCAAAAGCAAGGUCAGCCCCGGCCAAAAGCAAGGUCAGCCCCGGGCUCUGCCCACACCCUUCUGACGCUAGAGCACUCCACGGACGGCAACAACAGCACCGUCGUGGGACCGUCUUUGGAAGAAAAUUGUCAUUAUCUACCACUGAUUUUGCCUACAAACAACGGUAUGGCUCAGAGUCCCUAGCCAGACCGCUCAUCUACUGCUAAUUAAGGUAAUAUAUAUACACAAGCACCAUCUGGCUGAAGCCAGUAUAAACAAGGAUCGGCACCAUGUAAAAUAGUUCACUAGAACAAUGCACCGGCCCCGUCUAGCUUUGCCCAGUAUACGGGCUCCGGUUAGCCCCACUAUGUAAUCGAAUGUAAAUAUGAACGCUGCUUCUCUAUCUCUUCUACUUUGUACUACAAUCAGUUUUCAGCAAUGCAAAUGGCUUCCUUACUCCUGCCUCUUGAAUGUAAAGCUACAAGAACAGAAGCAAAGCAAAUGAUUUCCUAACUGCUGUCUCUUGAAAUUUCUACGUGAAUCACUUCAUAGCAAGGACACACGGCCCUAACGAGGAGCGAAACUACUGCUUGACCACACAAUGUAAACAUUCUUCUUCUUCAGAUGAAACAACCUCCACGCUGUAUCAAAAUGACACUACAACCCAAAUAACACGGGCUAACGGGCGCGGCGUGCCGCCGCGCCUAUGCCUCCUAGUACCCUAUAUAAAAGCUAAACACUUUAGCGUGCUAAUAACGACCGGGCCACUGUAGAUGGGCUAUUUAUCCUCCCUUUGAUCCAGUUCUGGUGCGACGCGUGGAUUGUUUUUUCUUCACCUCAUUGAUUCACUCGAUCUCUUCUCUUUUUAUUUCCUCAUUUUCUGCCGGAGUGGUUACCGGUUACCGGUUUGCUAGACUCUUUCCUUCACACUGAUGAGAUUUUCUUCCGGUAAUUGCGUACCUGCCGUUUACCGCGGUCAAGCGGUGGGUUGGAUCGGUGCUAUGCCACGUUAUUUUCUCCUAGCCUACGUAUUUCUCUGGAAGACAUUACGUGUCGGUGUCUUCCACCUUCUCUCCGCUAAUUUCUCUUUCCUAAUUUCUUGCUAUGGCAUCGCAUGAGAAAGUUUCUGGGCGUUCCCUUAUGGUCAUCGGCUCACUGCGCCUCUUUUUUCCCACGCCCACGCCCCCUCCCCCCACCUCCCCGUCGUCCGAUCCGGUCGUCUUGCCCGUCAUCGCCCUAAGCGGCCGCCAUGGAUCCCCUCACGCUGGUGGUGCCCAAUACAGGGGCGAUGAAUACGUUCAAGGAGGAUCUCUAACUGGAGAUGCAGAUGGGAGAAAAUGAGUUGGUGGACGAGGGAGAGGAAGAGGAGGAUAUGGAGCCGGUGCUUCCUCCUUCUGUUAUUUCCUCUUCCUUCAAUCCUGCAAUUGGUAGUUCAAGUGUGAGCGUACGUCCCUGCAACUCUCUGUGAUGUUGAUGCAAAGAUCAGGCUGGGUGAACGUUUGGUUAUUGAUGAUUCUACUGGUGGCAUCUCUGUUGGAGGGCUAAUACUGAUUACAGUCCUUUUACAGUUUUACGUCCCGUCUUUUAUUUAUUUGCGAUGGGAAGCUCUUCCUGGACUCUGUCAGAUCGUCUUGCUGGUAUGGGCUUUCCGUUUUAGAUGGAGCAUACAUUUCAGAAAAUGGUUUCUACCGGAAGUGGGAACCGUGUGUGCACAACCAGGUGGAGGGGUCAGUCCAAUAGCUCACUGCCUUUGGAUCAGAGUAUAGAACGAUGGUCACUGUCAAAAGUUCAGAAUCAAGUAGUACCACCUUCAAAGAAAAAGUUAAGAAUCAUGAGGUCACUUCAAGAGAAGUUCAGUAAGAAAUCUCAGCAAAGACUCGCCUACUGGAACUAGGAGAUUCCAAGAUCAGCCAAGUUUCUAAAUGAAUAAUAAAAGUAGGAAAAUAUAGGUUGCUUGCAUUUAUGUGGGUACGCUGACCUUACACAUGUCAAUUGCUAGAAUUGGAGCAUCUUAAGAUGGUCCUUGGUUUUGUUUGAGCUUAUUUAAAUUGUUUAUGCAGUCUCCUUUGUAUGGGUUAUCAAAGUGUAGAAAAGAGUAUGUUAAAGCCAAGAAAUGAAGAUCUGCUACUUGAGUGAUGAUAAAAGACUUAAAAGUUGAAUAAUGACCUGAGGAGGAAACAACUCAAUGUACACUUCCAUUUUUCAUUAACCAAGUUUGCCACAUAGUUUUACUGUAAGAUCCAAUAGGACCUCUUGCAGCUACUAUUUUGCAUCUGUUUCCGUUGACAUAUAUUCAGCAUCCCAUAAAUUCGUGUUAAUUCCUUGACCGGUGUUUCAGAUAUUUGCCUUCAAAUUACAGAAUAUUGCAGUGGAGAAAUAUUGCGAACAAACUGUGGGUGGGCGAUGGCUCCACCUUAUGCAUUUCUGUCACAUUUUAUGUGGCAGAUUUGAUUAGCAUUAUGUUUCUCCAAAAUCUGGAGUUAACAAUACAACAGAUAAGAAAACAGGGGAUGACAUACAUAUUGGACAGAGACACGCACUUUGAAUGGUCGUCAUAUUCUGGGAAGCCAGUGCAAUAUUCUUUUUUUUAUAUUUGGAGAAUUGGUUUCAUACUAAUGUAUGCAACCAGGUGGAUGGAAGAAAUCGAUCAAUGUCUGAGUUUUGAUUUUUUGUCUCAGAAAAUUCGUUUUCACUGUCAGAAUCAGCUGAGUUGUUCCUUCCAAAAUGGUAUCAUUGGAAUCAGGCCCAGAGGCAUUCCUGUGAAAAUACAUAGCUGAGGGCUUCUGAUUCUAAUUGAACAUGCCAUCUUGCUAUCCAAUCUCCAGGCCACACAACAAUACAUUGAAUCCUCUUCUAGGAAAAUACGUUGGCUUCUCUUCCAAGAAAAUGUAAGAAGAAAUCCAGCAACGAGAUGGACUUUCCGCGCCAGGACUAGAUACUCUAGCCAUCAUGCCUGGGUUCUUCACGCCGUGCCAAUUGAAGAAACUUCGACUGAUGUUGGUGAAGGGGGAUUGCUAGCCAUGAUCAUCACAAGGUUUUUAACACAAUCUUCUAAUGUACGACAACUAAACCAUUGUAUGAUGCAGUGUAAAUCAGGGUCUUUCGUAAAAUCAAGCUUUUAUGGUCAAA
RNA transcript from Lolium perenne, 7977 nucleotides. RefSeq lists it as uncharacterized. The record is from RefSeq and is a predicted model, not a curated record. Lineage: Eukaryota; Viridiplantae; Streptophyta; Magnoliopsida; Poales; Poaceae.